ACGCUGGCGGCGUGCCUAACACAUGCAAGUCGAACGGAGUUUAAGCCCCUUUCGGGACUUAACUUAGUGGCGAACGGGUGAGUAACGCGUGAGGAACCUGCCUUUCAGUUGGGGGGACAACAGUUGGAAACGACUGCUAAUACCGCAUAACAUACUCGGGGGACAUCCCCUGGGUAUCAAAGCUUUAUGUGCUGAAAGAUGGCCUCGCGUCUGAUUAGAUAGUUGGUGGGGUAACGGCCCACCAUGGCGACGAUCAGUAGCCGGUCUGAGAGGAUGAACGGCCACAUUGGGACUGAGAUACGGCCCAGACUCCUACGGGAGGCAGCAGUGGGGAAUAUUGCGCAAUGGGGGAAACCCUGACGCAGCAACGCCGCGUUGAGGAUGACGGUUUUCGGAUUGUAAACUCAUGUCUGGUGGGAAGAUAGUGACGGUACCACCGGAGGAAGUCACGGCUAACUACGUG
Molecule: ribosomal RNA, 463 nt
Filed under: uncultured bacterium
Lineage: Bacteria
Description: bacterial SSU rRNA
Rfam family: Bacterial small subunit ribosomal RNA
Source: RNAcentral